GGGGUUGUGGCUCAGUGAUUGAGUGCUUGCUUUACAUUCAGGAGGCACUGGGUUCGAACCUCAGCACCA
RNAcentral lists this transfer RNA (69 nucleotides) under Ictidomys tridecemlineatus (thirteen-lined ground squirrel). RNAcentral's name for it is "Spermophilus tridecemlineatus (thirteen-lined ground squirrel) tRNA". It matches the Rfam family "tRNA". From Rfam's summary of the family: Transfer RNA (tRNA) molecules are approximately 80 nucleotides in length. Their secondary structure includes four short double-helical elements and three loops (D, anti-codon, and T loops). Lineage: Eukaryota; Metazoa; Chordata; Mammalia; Rodentia; Sciuridae. The record is from Rfam by way of RNAcentral.